Molecule: ribosomal RNA, 347 nt
Filed under: Hypogeophis brevis (Mahe caecilian)
Lineage: Eukaryota; Metazoa; Chordata; Amphibia; Gymnophiona; Indotyphlidae
Description: Grandisonia brevis (Mahe caecilian) partial 12S ribosomal RNA
Rfam family: Bacterial small subunit ribosomal RNA
Source: RNAcentral
CCGCCAGAGUAUUACGAGCAAUAGCUUAAAACUCAAAGGACUUGGCGGUGCCUAAACCCCUCCAGAGGAGCCUGUUCUAUAAUCGAUAACCCACGCUUAACCUCACCACCAUUUGACAACCCAGCCUAUAUACCACCGUCACUAGCCUACCUUAUGAAAGAACUAUAGCAAGCAAAAUUGAAAUUGCCAAAUACGUCAGGUCAAGGUGUAGCACAUAUGGUGGAAAGAAAUGGGCUACAUUUUCUUACAAAGAUCAUACGAAUGAUAUAAUGAAAUCACACCUGAAGGCGGAUUUGGCAGUAAGAACGGAUAAUAAUGCCACUCUUAACAUUGGCCCUGGGGCGCGC